RNAcentral lists this small RNA (148 nucleotides) under Papio anubis (olive baboon). RNAcentral's name for it is "Metazoan signal recognition particle RNA (ENSPANG00000050031.1)". It matches the Rfam family "Metazoan signal recognition particle RNA". From Rfam's summary of the family: The signal recognition particle (SRP) is a universally conserved ribonucleoprotein. It is involved in the co-translational targeting of proteins to membranes. Lineage: Eukaryota; Metazoa; Chordata; Mammalia; Primates; Cercopithecidae. The record is from Rfam by way of RNAcentral.
GCCGGGCAUGGUGGCGCAUACCUGUAGUCCCAGCUACUCAGAGGGCUGAGGCAGGAGGAUUGUUUGAGCCCAGGAAGUCAAGGCUGCAGUGAACAAAAAUCUUGCCACUGCACUCCAGCCUGGGUGAUAGAGCAAGACCCUGUCUCAA